UAGUAAGUUGAUGCAAGACAGCCUUUCCUCCUCUGCAUCGGAGAGCAAAGGAAGAAAAUCCAAAGGUUCUUCAUUGUUUUGGACCAGAAAACUAUCCCAUGCAACGCUGAGACAACGGUGGCUGCUUUUGAUGAGCUAUUAAAAGCUCACUUCGUCUUCAGUCUCUCCUAUGAUGAAGGGCUUUCUGCGUUCUACACUUUCAUCCAAACAACGAUGUACAACAUCGAUGUUGGAAACACAAAGGAAACCCCACGAGUCAAGGAACUGAGAGCAAGACUACUGCAAGACCAUUAAAAUGGCACCAGUUCACAAAGGUCAGAGCACAGUUAAAAAAAAACUGAGUAUGUUCACAUGUUUUGUUUGUAAAAUGCACCACAAAAGUUGUUCAGUUCUUUGUCAACACUUAAAAUUUCAGCAUGGAUUAUAUCCAGCUAAAAACCUGCCGUCAACUGGCAUUUUACUAUGAAAAUUAUUUUAAGCGGUUUGAGAUUGGUCCUUUAAAAAUAAAUAGCAUUGAUAUCUUGGAAGGUGGAAAAUUACUCUGUCAAACAUUACAUUUAGAUCCAUGCUCAAAUGUCUCAACUACAAGUUGGGUCAGAAAUUACGGCACAGAGUACCAGAUUGAUUUGUUUAUAUGCACUGGAACAUCCCAUGACUUGCCUGUAUUCAAGAAAAUCUGUAAUAUCAUAAUACAUGAGCAGCGUGCUUUCAUAAUAGGCUGUACUGU
This is a long non-coding RNA of Sphaeramia orbicularis (orbiculate cardinalfish), 727 nucleotides long. RefSeq lists it as uncharacterized. The record is from RefSeq and is a predicted model, not a curated record. The transcript has 2 exons. NCBI's taxonomy places the organism in Eukaryota, Metazoa, Chordata, Actinopteri, Kurtiformes, Apogonidae.